This 492-nucleotide ribosomal RNA is filed under the name uncultured bacterium. RNAcentral's name for it is "partial 16S ribosomal RNA". It matches the Rfam family "Bacterial small subunit ribosomal RNA", at positions 29 to 507 of the family's 1533-position model. The record is from RNAcentral.
AGUGAACGCUGGCGGUAGGCCUAACACAUGCCAGUCGAACGGCAGCACAGUAAGAGCUUGCUCUUACGGGUGGCGAGUGGCGGACGGGUGAGGAAUACAUCGGAAUCUACUUUUUCGUGGGGGAUAACGUAGGGAAACUUACGCUAAUACCGCAUACGACCUACGGGUGAAAGCAGGGGAUCUUCGGACCUUGCGCGAUUGAAUGAGCCGAUGUCGGAUUAGCUAGUUGGCGGGGUAAAGGCCCACCAAGGCGACGAUCCGUAGCUGGUCUGAGAGGAUGAUCAGCCACACUGGAACUGAGACACGGUCCAGACUCCUACGGGAGGCAGCAGUGGGGAAUAUUGGACAAUGGGCGCAAGCCUGAACCAACCAUACCGCGUGGGUGAAGAAGGCCUUCGGGUUGUAAAGCCCUUUUGUUGGGAAAGAAAAGCAGCAGGUUAAUACCCCGCUGUUCUGACGGUACCCAAAUAAUAAGCACCGGCUAACUUCGUG